Drosophila serrata is the source of this 533-nucleotide long non-coding RNA. RefSeq lists it as uncharacterized. The record is from RefSeq and is a predicted model, not a curated record. NCBI's taxonomy places the organism in Eukaryota, Metazoa, Arthropoda, Insecta, Diptera, Drosophilidae.
UCAAACUUUCCCAACGAAAAACCACUCGCUUGGGAAUAUUUUAUUUCAAUUUAUUUAAAUGGGAGCGAGCAUAAAUUACACUGGCAUAUCGGCACAAUGCCAUCUAUAUAGAGCGUAAAGCGAGACAGCAACGGAAAAAGGAAGUUAACAAAAUAAGCCAGAUAGGAGAGAUAGAGAUAUGCCGACGAAGAAAGAAAAAACAAAACCCUAAGCCCAAUAAAGGAAAAGAUAAAUGUCGAAGCGACGACAAAUAAAGUAAGGCAGAGGCCGAAAACACAGGUGUCACCGAUAGGCAUCUCUUAAUGCCCACAGAGAGCGCCGGCGAAGACAAAGCCACGACUUUACAGGUUCGCUUCUCUUUACUUCCCCAACUCUCUGUCUCCGGUCAAUGUCAGUGUGUGUGCUGCCGUGUGGUCCGAGAAAUUCUCAUUAAGCGAAAUAUUCACAUAAUCCCGCAUUUAUUUGAUAUGCGAUAAUAAACGUAAGGGAACGUAAAAAGGAGACCAGUCGAAGAAAUAAAAAUAUAUAUAAAA